CCUACGGGGGGCUGCAGUGGGGAAUAUUGGACAAUGGGCGAAAGCCUGAUCCAGCCAUGCCGCGUGUGUGAAGAAGGCCUUCGGGUUGUAAAGCACUUUCAGUGGGGAAGAAAGCCUUGGGGCUAAUACCCUCGAGGAAGGACAUCACCCACAGAAGAAGCACCGGCUAACUCCGUGCCAGCAGCCGCGGUAAUACGGAGGGUGCGAGCGUUAAUCGGAAUUACUGGGCGUAAAGCGCGCGUAGGCGGUCUGAUAAGCCGGUUGUGAAAGCCCCGGGCUCAACCUGGGAACGGCAUCCGGAACUGUCAGGCUAGAGUGCAGGAGAGGAAGGUAGAAUUCCCGGUGUAGCAGUGAAAUGCGUAGAGAUCGGGAGGAAUACCAGUGGCGAAGGCGGCCUUCUGGACUGACACUGACGCUGAGGUGCGAAAGCGUGGGUAGCAAACAGGAUUAGAUACCCCAGUAGUC
RNAcentral lists this ribosomal RNA (465 nucleotides) under Vreelandella stevensii. RNAcentral describes it as "partial 16S ribosomal RNA". It matches the Rfam family "Bacterial small subunit ribosomal RNA", at positions 338 to 795 of the family's 1533-position model. Lineage: Bacteria; Pseudomonadati; Pseudomonadota; Gammaproteobacteria; Oceanospirillales; Halomonadaceae. The record is from RNAcentral.